Molecule: long non-coding RNA, 1172 nt
Filed under: Monodelphis domestica (gray short-tailed opossum)
Lineage: Eukaryota; Metazoa; Chordata; Mammalia; Didelphimorphia; Didelphidae
Description: lncRNA (ENSMODG00000044650.1)
Source: RNAcentral
AGGAAAUAUUAAAUCUUUCUGCCUUUUAUAUUUGUUUGUAGUGUCUCUGUAGUGUCAAGUGCACAUGGACAGUUUUGGUAAAAGCCUCACAUAAUGCUGAGAAGGUGCAAGAAGAGGAGGUGGUCUAUACUAUCAAAACAAGGAUAAGGACUGAGAAAAGGCCAACAAAACAAGCAGUUAAGAAAGCAUUGAUAACCUCAGAGGGAGUAGUUCCAAUCUAUAGGUGUGGAGUUGGAAGGAAAAGAGGAAAACAGCUUGGAACUCAAAUGUAACCAAAAAAAUGUGUCUCUCUACUCACUGAGAAAAGAAGCAAGGAAAGAAGAAAAGAGAAAGUUAAGAUAAAGAGAAGAAAAGAAAAAGAGGGGAAGGAAAGAAGAGAGGAGUAAGGAGAGAGUGAAAAGAAGAGAUAAAAAGGAAGAGAAGGAGUGUGAGAAAAAUGGAGGAGAUAAAAAGAACCCUUGUAUCAUGUAAGCACAGUCAAGCAAAACCAUUUCUCAGAUUGUCCAUGUCCAAACAUUGAUUUCUCAUUCUGAAUAUCAACCCUUCAUCUCUCUGUUAUGAGUUUGGCAGUUUUCUGUUUUGUUUUUCCUUAGUCUUUCUCUUAAUAAGUACACAAUCUAACUGUACAGGUAAGGCCAUGAACCCAGAAGCAGGGAAGAGGCACAGUGCUAAGAGCAAACAAAUUUGGAGAGGUUCAUCACCAGAACAUUAGUGAUUAUAUGUCUGAAUUAUUAUUGUGGGUAUUGUAAUUGGGACCUGGUCAGUGGAAGUCAAUCUCAGAAUAUGUAUAUUUUGCCUGUUUCUUGCCCUUUGCUUGUGGAAUGGAAUGAUGGUGGAUAAUUUGGAGCAUACACAGGAAGUAUUCUGAUGGUUUCUGAUUGUCUUGCCACCUUAGGAAGAUACAUCUUUUGAUUGGUUGCUUAGCCAGACCCCUGCCUUUGUAUACUAAGGCUGGAUGACCACUUGUCAGUUAUGAUUCAUGGGAGAUACCUUUGUGUAUAAGGUGUUUUAGAUGUCAGCUAAGACUGAUUCCAACUCUAAAAUUCUGUGAUUCUAUAUGAACUGAUGGAGAGUUGAGUAAGCAGAGACAGAAGAACAAUAUGCACAAUGACUGAAAUAACGUAAACAGAAAAAAAAAAACCAUUAAAAGACAGGUAGAAUUGGAAUGAUAU